GACGAACGCUGGCGGCGUGCCUAACACAUGCAAGUCGAGCGGAGCACCCCGGACGGAGACUUCGGUCAAAGUCUGGGAAUGCUUAGCGGCGGACGGGUGAGUAACGCGUGAGCAAUCUGCCUUCAAGAGGGGGACAACAUAGGGAAACUUAUGCUAAUACCGCAUAACAUAUAUUAACCGCAUGGUUGAUAUAUCAAAGAUUUAUCGCUUGAAGAUGAGCUCGCGUCCGAUUAGAUAGUUGGUGGGGUAACGGCCUACCAAGUCGACGAUCGGUAGCCGGACUGAGAGGUUGAACGGCCACAUUGGGACUGAGACACGGCCCAGACUCCUACGGGAGGCAGCAGUGGGGGGAUAUUGCACAAUGGGGGAAACCCUGAUGCAGCAACGCCGCGUGAAGGAAGAAGGUCUUCGGAUUGUAAACUUCUGUUUUUAGGGUAAGGAUAAUGACGGUACCUUUGGAGGAAGCCCGGCUAACUACGUG
Molecule: ribosomal RNA, 481 nt
Filed under: uncultured bacterium
Lineage: Bacteria
Description: bacterial SSU rRNA
Rfam family: Bacterial small subunit ribosomal RNA
Source: RNAcentral